GGCGUCAUAGCUCAGUUGGGAGAGCAGCAGACUGAAGAAAAUCUAGGAAUCUGAAGGUCCCGUGUUCAAGCCACGGUGAUGCCA
Molecule: non-coding RNA, 84 nt
Organism: Mycena capillaripes
Lineage: Eukaryota; Fungi; Basidiomycota; Agaricomycetes; Agaricales; Mycenaceae
Source: the annotation of a GenBank genome assembly